This 494-nucleotide ribosomal RNA is filed under the name uncultured crenarchaeote. Its description in RNAcentral is "bacterial SSU rRNA". It matches the Rfam family "Archaeal small subunit ribosomal RNA", at positions 75 to 567 of the family's 1478-position model. Lineage: Archaea; Thermoproteati; Thermoproteota. The record is from RNAcentral.
UACAAGGCAUACGGCUCAGUAACGCGUAGUCCAUUUAACCUAUGGACGGGAAUAACCUCGGGAAACUGAGAAUCCAUGCCCGAUAGAACAUUAUGCCUGGAAUGGUUUAUGUUCCAAAUGAUUUAUCGCCGUAGGAUGGGACUGCGGCCUAUCAGUUUGUUGGUGAGGUAAUGGCCCACCAAGACUAUUACAGGUACGGGCUCUGAGAGGAGUAGCCCGGAGAUGGGUACUGAGACACGGACCCAGGCCCUAUGGGGCGCAGCAGGCGAGAAAACUUUGCAAUGUGCGAAAGCACGACAAGGUUAAUCCGAGUGGUUUCUGCUAAAGAAACCUUUUGUCAGUCCUAAAAACACUGAUGAAUAAGGGGUGGGCAAGUUCUGGUGUCAGCCGCCGCGGUAAAACCAGCACCUCAAGUGGUCAGGGAUGAUUAUUGGGCCUAAAGCAUCCGUAGCCGGCUCUGUAAGUUUUCGGUUAAAUCUGUACGCUCAACGUAC